UACGUAGGCAGCAAGCGUUGUUCGGAAUUACUGGGCGUAAAGAGUGUGUAGGCGGUGCUCUAAGUUCGGUGUGAAAUCUCCCGGCUCAACUGGGAGGGUGCGCCGGAAACUGGGGUGCUGGAGCGCGGGAGAGGAAAGCGGAAUUCCUGGUGUAGCGGUGAAAUGCGUAGAUAUCAGGAGGAACACCGGCGGUGUAGACGGCUUUCUGGACCGUAGCUGACGCUGAGGCACGAAAGCGUGGGGAGCAAACAGG
This 253-nucleotide ribosomal RNA is filed under the name uncultured bacterium. RNAcentral describes it as "partial 16S ribosomal RNA". It matches the Rfam family "Bacterial small subunit ribosomal RNA", at positions 524 to 776 of the family's 1533-position model. The record is from RNAcentral.